CCUGCCCCUAGAAGCAUUGCAGGCCUGGCUGCUGUGUGACAUAUGUGUCAGUAAGUGGCAGAGAGGAGAGAGGCUAUGACUACUCUCAGUGUUCUGACCUGUGAACAUCUGAAUGAUUAGUAGCCUAACAUU
Small nucleolar RNA from Grammomys surdaster, 132 nucleotides. RefSeq annotates it as small nucleolar RNA SNORA17. The record is from RefSeq and is a predicted model, not a curated record. NCBI's taxonomy places the organism in Eukaryota, Metazoa, Chordata, Mammalia, Rodentia, Muridae. The transcript has a single exon.